GUGCUUUCUUAGGCAGCACAUAUACCAAAAUUAGAACAAUACAGAGAGAUUAGCAUGUUCCUUGAAUAAGGAUGACAUGCAAAUUCAUGAAGCAUUCCAUAUUCAU
Molecule: small nuclear RNA, 106 nt
Organism: Otolemur garnettii (small-eared galago)
Lineage: Eukaryota; Metazoa; Chordata; Mammalia; Primates; Galagidae
Source: Ensembl